AGAUUAAUAAAUUGAGGAAUGCAGGACAUAUUCCGAUAGUCAUACACUUCAUCGAAUUGGAUCGUACAUUCUGCUUCUUACACCUCCCAAAAAUAUUACAGAGAGAGUAAAAUGGAAAAAGAAAAAAGUUUAAAAGUGCAAGAGGAAAAACCCAUGGGGUGCAAGAAGAAACCCCUAAAAUAUGAUAAUUUGUAAACUCUAUUUAACAGCCCAAGAAGCCACAAAGAGUCCAGUUUGUUCAUCAAACUCGUUUCGUUUCUCACAUUGAUUGAUUGCUUGCUUUGCUUAUUCAUUCCCCAGUUCAUCAUAUCUCCAUUAUUCCCUUCUCGAUUCCUCUAACUUCAUCAUAGAAAACCAUAAACACACCACAGCAUCAGAAUAAAAACCCAGAAUAUUCUGUUUUUCCAUUCCAACAAAAAUACAAAACACAAAGUAGGUUAAAAAAAAACUAAAAAAUAAUGGGAACGUCGUUAGCGUCGUUGCAAAGCUGGGUUCUUUUGCCAUUCUUCCUCAUGUUCCUCGCCAUCUACCUCCUCGGCUACUUUAUCGUUUUCCGCAAACAGUCCACCAAGAUCCGACAAGAAUUCUCCAGCUGCCUCAUUUCGAUCUUCC
RNAcentral lists this long non-coding RNA (612 nucleotides) under Vigna radiata. Its description in RNAcentral is "long non-coding RNA (VRAD_LNC012705)". Lineage: Eukaryota; Viridiplantae; Streptophyta; Magnoliopsida; Fabales; Fabaceae. The record is from RNAcentral.